UGGGGAAUAUUGGACAAUGGGCGAAAGCCUGAUCCAGCGACGCCGCGUGUGUGAAGAAGGCCUGCGGGUUGUAAAGCACUUUUAGUGGGGAUGAAAAGCACAUUGCUAAUACCAGUGUGUCUUGACCUAACCCAAAGAAAAAGCACAGGCUCACUCUGUGCCAGCAGCCGCGGUAAUACAGAGGGUGCGAGAGCUAAUCGGAAUUACUGGGCGUAAAGCGUGCGUAGACGGUUAUUUAAGUCGGGUGUGAAAGCCCCGGGCUCAACCUGGGAAUUGCAUUCGAGACUGAAUAGCUAGGGUACGGUAGAGGGAAGUGGAAUUUCCGGUGUAGCGGUGAAAUGCGUAGAUAUCGGAAGGAACAUCAGUGGCGAAAGCGACUUCCUGGACCAGUACCGACGUUCAGGCACGAAAGCGUGGGGAGCAAA
This 425-nucleotide ribosomal RNA is filed under the name uncultured bacterium. RNAcentral describes it as "bacterial SSU rRNA". It matches the Rfam family "Bacterial small subunit ribosomal RNA", at positions 355 to 772 of the family's 1533-position model. The record is from RNAcentral.